This 318-nucleotide long non-coding RNA is filed under the name Ananas comosus (pineapple). RNAcentral describes it as "long non-coding RNA (ACOM_LNC032177)". Lineage: Eukaryota; Viridiplantae; Streptophyta; Magnoliopsida; Poales; Bromeliaceae. The record is from RNAcentral.
CCAACCUAAUCGAUAGAAAAAUCUACAUUUAUUAAACUCUUUUUUACGUAAUAUCUGAAUCAGUUCUAAGCAGAUAUGAUAAUAAAAAUUUAGCAUCCGACAUAUAUCCGUAUCUGAAUCCGUAUUUGAAAAAACAAUAUUGUUACAGAUAUGAUUUCCUCAAAAUAUUCAACCUGAUCAGUUUUCACCCCUACUGCUGGAUCGGUGUUCUCUGUCAAAAUUUUAAUACAAUAAAACUGAAAAAGAAAACUAAAAUUUGUGUAUCAUGAUAAACGAUUAACUAAAUUGUUUCUUUGAUAUAUAAGAUUUUAUGGUUUA